AGAUUGAACGCUGGCGGCAUGCCUUACACAUGCAAGUCGAACGGCAGCACGGGAGCAAUCCUGGUGGCGAGUGGCGAACGGGUGAGUAAUAUAUCGGAACGUGCCCAGUCGUGGGGGAUAACGUAGAGAAAUUUACGCUAAUACCGCAUACGAUCCAAGGAUGAAAGCGGGGGACCGUAAGGCCUCGCGCGACUGGAGCGGCUGAUAUCAGAUUAGCUUGUUGGUGAGGUAAAAGCUCACCAAGGCGACGAUCCGUAACUGGUCUGAGAGGAUGAUCAGUCACACUGGAACUGAGACACGGUCCAGACUCCUACGGGA
This 318-nucleotide ribosomal RNA is filed under the name uncultured soil bacterium. RNAcentral describes it as "bacterial SSU rRNA". It matches the Rfam family "Bacterial small subunit ribosomal RNA", at positions 26 to 346 of the family's 1533-position model. The record is from RNAcentral.